Molecule: ribosomal RNA, 490 nt
Filed under: uncultured bacterium
Lineage: Bacteria
Description: partial 16S ribosomal RNA
Rfam family: Bacterial small subunit ribosomal RNA
Source: RNAcentral
AAUGAACGUUGGCGGCAUGGAUUAGGCAUGCAAGUCGAGCGAGAAGGGUUUUGAAGCUUGCUUUAGAACCCGGAAAGCGGCGCAAGGGAGAGUAACGAGUAGUUAUCUACCCCAAGGCCCGGAAUAGCUGCGGGAAACUGCAGGUAAUGCCGGAUAAUAUCCCCGGAUCAAAGGUGUGAUUCCGCCUUGGGAGGAGACUGCUUUGUACUAGCUAGUUGGUAGGGUAAUGGCCUACCAAGGCUACGAUGCAUAGCGGGCGUGAGAGCGUGGCCCGUCUACCUGGGACUGAAACACUGCCCAGACACCUCCGGGUGGCUGCAGUCGAGAAUCUUCGGCAAUGGGCGAAAGCCUGACCGAGCGAUGCCGCGUGCGGGAUGAAGGCCCUCGGGUUGUAAACCGCUGUCGUAGAGGAGAAAGGUCUGAUGAAGAAUCAGAUUUGAUCUAUUCUAGGAGGAAGUCGGGGCUAAGUUCGUGCCAGCAGCCGCCGUAA